UACGGGGGGGGCAAGCGUUGUUCGGAAUUACUGGGCGUAAAGGGCUCGUAGGCGGCCAACUAAGUCGGACGUGAAAUCCCCAGGCUCAACCUGGGAACUGCGUCCGAUACUGGAUGGCUUGAAUCCGGGAGAGGGAUGCAGAAUUCCAGGUGUAGCGGUGAAAUGCGUAGAUAUCUGGAGGAACACCAGUGGCGAAAGCGGCCACCUGGACUGCACCUGACGCUGACACGCGAAAGCUAGGGGAGCGAACGGG
This 253-nucleotide ribosomal RNA is filed under the name uncultured bacterium. RNAcentral describes it as "partial 16S ribosomal RNA". It matches the Rfam family "Bacterial small subunit ribosomal RNA", at positions 524 to 776 of the family's 1533-position model. The record is from RNAcentral.